ACAAACGCUGGCGGCGUGCUUCACACAUGCAAGUCGAACGGGAUUUAGUAGACAGAAGCCUCGGCUAAAGAUUACUAAUGAGAGUGGCGAACGGGUGAGUAACGCGUGAGCAACCUGCCUAUGACAGUGGGAUAGCCUCGGGAAACCGGGAUUAAUACCGCAUAAAAUCGUAGAAACACAUGUUUUAACGGUCAAAGAUUUAUCGGUCAUAGAUGGGCUCGCGUCUGAUUAGCUAGUUGGUGAGAUAACAGCCCACCAAGGCGACGAUCAGUAGCCGGUCUGAGAGGAUGAACGGCCACAUUGGAACUGAGACACGGUCCAAACUCCUACGGGAGGCAGCAGUGGGGAAUAUUGCACAAUGGGGGAAACCCUGAUGCAGCGACGCCGCGUGAACGAAGAAGGUAUUCGUAUCGUAAAGUUCUGUCCUAUGGGAAGAUAAUGACAGUACCAUAGAAGAAAGCUCCGGCUAAAUACGUG
RNAcentral lists this ribosomal RNA (477 nucleotides) under uncultured bacterium. Its description in RNAcentral is "partial 16S ribosomal RNA". It matches the Rfam family "Bacterial small subunit ribosomal RNA", at positions 29 to 507 of the family's 1533-position model. The record is from RNAcentral.